GACGAACGCUGGCGGCGUGCUUAACACAUGCAAGUCGAACGGAAAGGCCCUGCUUUUGUGGGGUGCUCGAGUGGCGAACGGGUGAGUAACACGUGAGUAACCUGCCCUUGACUUUGGGAUAACUUCAGGAAACUGGGGCUACUACCGGAUAGGAGCUCCUGCUGCAUGGUGGGGGUUGGAAAGUUUCGGCGGUUGGGGAUGGACUCGCGGCUUAUCCGCUUGUUGGUGGGGUAGUGGCUUACCAAGGCUUUGACGGGUAGCCGGCCUGAGAGGGUGACCGGCGACAUUGGGACUGAGAUACGGCCCAGACUCCUACGGGAGGCAGCAGUGGGGAAUAUUGCACAAUGGGCGGAAGCCUGAUGCAGCAACGCCGCGGGCGGGAUGACGGCCUUCGGGUUGUAAACCGCUUUCGCCUGUGACGAAGCGUGAGUGACGGUAAUGUGUAAAGAAGCACCGGCUAACUACGUG
This 468-nucleotide ribosomal RNA is filed under the name uncultured bacterium. RNAcentral describes it as "partial 16S ribosomal RNA". It matches the Rfam family "Bacterial small subunit ribosomal RNA", at positions 28 to 507 of the family's 1533-position model. The record is from RNAcentral.